Molecule: long non-coding RNA, 377 nt
Filed under: Pan troglodytes (chimpanzee)
Lineage: Eukaryota; Metazoa; Chordata; Mammalia; Primates; Hominidae
Description: long non-coding RNA NONPTRT005890
Source: RNAcentral
GCCUGGCUUCCAGCAAAGCCGCUCCCCAGUGGCGCCUUGUGUUAGUGAGUGACCCUGCCCCACCUCAGCCACCAAGCCAAGGCCACCCCAGCUCCCUGCUGUUGUCCCGUCUAUUCCCCGAGCCCUGCAGAUCUCUCUGCCCCUCCAUCGCAGGCCAUUCUCCCUCCCUCUCUGCAGAGACCCCUAUCCCUGGACCCACUGAGGACAGCAGCCCUGUGCAGCCCCAGGACUGUGACUCGCACUGCAAACCUGCCCGUGGCAGCUACCGCAUCAGCCUAAAGAAGUUCUGCAAGAAGGACUAUGGUAGGUGCCCUCAGGCCUCCCGCUGACCUUCCCACCUUCCUCCUCUCCCUACCUUCCCUCCUCCGCCAGCUUCC